GCGGAUGACGGGAGCUUGCUCCUUGAUUCAGCGGCGGACGGGUGAGUAAUGCCUAGGAAUCUGCCUGGUAGUGGGGGACAACGUUUCGAAAGGAACGCUAAUACCGCAUACGUCCUACGGGAGAAAGCAGGGGACCUUCGGGCCUUGCGCUAUCAGAUGAGCCUAGGUCGGAUUAGCUAGUUGGUGGGGUAAUGGCUCACCAAGGCGACGAUCCGUAACUGGUCUGAGAGGAUGAUCAGUCACACUGGAACUGAGACACGGUCCAGACUCCUACGGGAGGCAGCAGUGGGGAAUAUUGGACAAUGGGCGAAAGCCUGAUCCAGCCAUGCCGCGUGUGUGAAGAAGGUCUUCGGAUUGUAAAGCACUUUAAGUUGGGAGGAAGGGCAGUAAGUUAAUACCUUGCUGUUUUGACGUUACCGACAGAAUAAGCACCGGCUAACUCUGUGCCAGCAGCCGCGGUAAUACAGAGGGUGCAAGCGUUAAUCGGAAUUACUGGGCGUAAAGCGCGCGUAGGUGGUUCGUUAAGUUGGAUGUGAAAGCCCCGGGCUCAACCUGGGAACUGCAUCCAAAACUGGCGAGCUAGAGUACGGUAGAGGGUGGUGGAAUUUCCUGUGUAGCGGUGAAAUGCGUAGAUAUAGGAAGGAACACCAGUGGCGAAGGCGACCACCUGGACUGAUACUGACACUGAGGUGCGAAAGCGUGGGGAGCAAACAGGAUUAG
RNAcentral lists this ribosomal RNA (720 nucleotides) under Pseudomonas monteilii. RNAcentral's name for it is "bacterial SSU rRNA". It matches the Rfam family "Bacterial small subunit ribosomal RNA", at positions 66 to 781 of the family's 1533-position model. The record is from RNAcentral. Lineage: Bacteria; Pseudomonadati; Pseudomonadota; Gammaproteobacteria; Pseudomonadales; Pseudomonadaceae.